GGGGGAGGGUAAAUCGCCUCCUUCCGACCGACGCGGCGCUCUCGGUGGGAGAGGAAGGCGUGGGGCCCAGCACAGCGUGGAGAUGGCCUUGCCCGGGCCUCUCGGGCACCCAGCCUGCUGAAACGAGGCCUGGGAACGCGUCUCCUGCAAGCCCUCUGAGGUCCCACCGCGCCGAGCGCCCUCGGUUCUUUCUACACCGGCUCUGCCGCUUCUGCAGCGAGGCCCGGGGACCGAUGACUCACCCUACCGGCUAAUUACAGCGUUAAAUAACUUCGCGCUGGAUCCCGGGGAAGCGGGCGGCGCAGCAGCUAGGGAACGCGAUGCGGGAGGAGGGGCCGGGGGAGAUGCAGGGGUGCUUUGAGAACACACCCCCGUUCCUGCCGCCCGCUCGGCAAGUUCUGGCCCGUGGAGGCUCCCCCAGAGCUCACAGCGUCGGGCCCUUUCCUACACAAUGUCCGGCGGUGGCCGGUGGGCAGGGGCACCAGCCCCCAGAGGGCCCUCCCGUCUGGAGGAAGCCUCAUCCACAUUCGCCAGGCAGCCUGCGCAAGGGGACCCUCGCCCACGUUUCACGGAAACCAUCUGCCCAGUGAAUAUAUGUGAAGGCCUUUCGUGCGUCUCUCUGGACAUUUGCGUGGGACGGACGUGAACGGCGGUGGCUGCGCGGAGAAGGAGCAGGUUUCGCUGUAUUUUUAGCAGGGAGUGCAGAUUUUAGAGCGUCAGCUGAACCUUCUCGUUCAGUCCUCUCCUCAUGCAGGACGACUUGCCAGAAAAGUAGGGAUAGUGAGCUUUCUUUCACAUUUAUGGGGUAUAGGUUUUAAAGGACAGUGUGUAAAUCAGCUUGUAUAAUAAUCGUGGCACCCACGCGUGUGAGCGGAGUUGCCAUGAGCUGACUUCCAAUGAUUAUUUCUGUUUCCAGGGAGACGAGGUUUGCAGCCACCUCCGUGGAGGAUGGAGCAGCUUCUCCAUUCCCUAUGCUGUGCUGCGGCAACCAGAUUGAUGAGGCUUUGCUGGAGGAAGUGAGCUGCCUUGCCUGGUCCUGAGCCCGGCCUGGAUGGAGACCUGAGUCGGCCUGCGCACGCUGGGGGCUGCCGUGCAGCAGCCUCUCAAGUCCGAGGACCCAGGCUGGCUCGUGGUUUAGGAUUUCUCCAGGAUCUGGCCUCCUCUCUCCUCCAGAGCCUGCUUCUGCCAGCCCUUCACUCGACCCCUGACCACUGUUCCUUAAAUGAGUGGUGCCUCUUACCAAAGCAAGCCCUUGGCAUAUGCUGUUCCCGUUUCUGCUUUAUGUUCCCCGGGCCACAUCCUCACCUAGCUUCUGCUGUCCCCUUUCUUAGACCUUAGCUUCAGCUCCCUUAAUUGCCCUCUCUUAUGUUGGGUGCCCACUGUCCUUUGAACAGUGAAAAGAGUGCUCCCAAAGACUUUCUAGUUUAGUCCUGGCAACGAACCCUGAGGCAGGUGGCUCUGCUCUCCUCACAGAGGUGUUCCAUCCCAAACCCAGACUCUGCCCACCUCCCUGGUCCCCACCUCCCUGCACCCCCUCCUUCCUGCACCCCUCCUCCCUGCACCCCUGCCUCCCUGCCCCUCAGCUCCUGGCCAAAGUUCCCCAUCACAGGCAGGAUCUCCCAGUGGUCUAAAUGUCUGUCUUCCCAACCAUAUUGGGGGCUCAGUGCAAGCAGGGUCCAUGUCCAGCUUGUCCCCACCCCCUCUCCAUCAGGACUCCCCAUCAGGCCCCGUCCUGGCCGUGUGGAGUGGACAAGUGAGCAGAUGAAUGAAUGGGUAAGCUGCUGCCAACCUGGGGUUGCUGUCCUGUGACGCAUCUCAUGUCAGUCCAGUUUUGCUCACGAGGAGAACAGGGCCAAGUAACGCAGACCAGGCCCGCAGGACGGCGAGGACCCACCUCCCUGCUGCAGUGAGGGAGGGCACUCGGGCCAGGAGCCAGAAGCAGAGCGUGUGGAGCCCUGCAGGCAGUGACCAGCAGGUGUCCUGUCAUGAAGGGCCUUGAGCUGUGCAAGUUCGGACUUUGUCCUGAGGGAGGAAGGGACAGCAGUCUGCAGGCCCUGCCACACAAAGCUCCCAGGGACCCUGUCACCGCGCCACUCUCAGCUCUGCAACCCAUGCAUAGUUUGGAUGUUAAUUCCACUGCUUUUUUUUUAAUGGCUGUGCUGGAUCUUUGUUGCUGCUCAUGGGCUUUCUCCAGUUGUGGCAAGUGGGGCCUACUCUCUAGGUGUGGUGUUCGGGGCUCACUGCCAUGGUUUUCAGGGUGCAGAGCACGGGCCCUAGCGCUCACAGGCUUCAGCAGUUGCGGCUCAGGCUUGGUAGUUGUGGCUCAUGGGCUGUGUUGUCCCGAGGUGUGUAGGAUCUUCCCAGACCAGGACUCGAACCCACGUCCCCUGCAUUGGCAGGUGGAUUCUUUACCGCUGAGCCACCAGGGAGGCCCUCCCCUGCUUUCUGGCAGAGUCCUUUCCCCCAGGCCCCAACAGGCUCACCUGUGAAGCUUGUCCCCCUGACAGCCCCUGGCACAGUGGGGUCCAGGGGGUGACUUGAGGGCCGUGGUGAACUCUGAGGCAGGGAGCUCAUGCCAGAAAGAAGCAGCACCCUCAUGAGAAAUGACUCUACAUGGGGAGGGGUGGGUGGCAAGGAGUGAUUUUAAGAAUCACAAAGCCUACCACAUACCAAGCGAGCUCGCAGGGACCCUCGUGGCAUCUCUGUGCGGGACACAUAACUGUCGCAGUCUAAGAACAGAGAACCAGAGAGGACAACAGGUUUAAAAUGUCACGUGUGUUUUUUUUUUAUUAUAGCAGUAAUCAUGCAUCAAGUGAAGAAUGUUUUUCCUAUUAACGUUAAAUUUCAAUAUUUACAUAUUUAUUAGCAUGUAAAAUCCAAUUUCCUACAGUGUUUACUUCAAUUAAUUUGGCUGAUUCUAAUUAUUUUUUCUAAUUUGUUUUUCAUUUUACUUUUCAGUAUUUCCUCCUUUAUCUUUUUAACUGGCUAAGUGCUCAGAUUUUUCUUUCAUUAUUAAUUCUAAGCCCCUUUUUUAGGGAAUGGUCAGUAUAGAUCUUCCUGUACAAGUGCGGCCACCUCUGCACAGGUGAUGGUUAAUCUGAAGACCUCAGUCUCACAAAUCAGAGCCUGUGAAUUCUGGAGACACAGAAUCUACCUUAUUAUUUUAUAAGUUUUUGUCUUAUAAUAGAGCCACAGAAAAACCCAUAAAACAUGCAUGUAACAGUUUACUGACAUAAACCAGCAUCUGUGUCCUUGCCACCAAAUCAGGAAACAGAACACUGCAGACUCAAGGGUGCAGCUCACCUCAGCCUCCCCCAGAGGUCCUGCUGACCUCAUCGAACCGCUUCCUUCUGUUUAUUUGUACUUUAAUCACCUAAGUAUACAUCCCUGAACAUUUUAGUUUGGCUUUGCCCGUUUUUUUUUUAUUAUACAAGUGAAAUGAUAGAGCCUGACUGUUGCACAUCUUGUUUCUUUCAUCCAACUUGAUGCCUCCUGUUGUGUCUCUAGUUUAUCUCUGUCAAAGCUGGUACUAAGCCAUUGUGUAAAUGUGCCAGAGUUUAUCCACGUUACUGUUGAUGAGCAUUUGAUUGUUUCUAGUUUGGGAGAUUAUGAAUAAAGCUGUUGUGAACUUUCUUAUGCUUGUGCACUGAUGCACUUGAGGGUGGAUUUUAUUUGAUCAUGAGUAAUAUAAUGUAUAUGCUCAGCUUUUUGUGCCCAUUUUUAUUGAGAUACAAUUUAUGUGCAAUAACAAUCACUGAUUUUAAGUGUUUGACUCAGUGACUUUAGACAACUGUACACGUUGGUGUGAGUCUCCACCACAGCACGACACAGGAAUAGUCCAAACACCCCCAAAGUUCCCCUUUCUGGCAAUGCUCUGCUCCACUCAAGGCCCUACAGAACUGCUCAUCUGCUUUCUCGUGCUAUAGUUUUGGUAUAAAAUUUCAGAUACUUGCAGUCAUAAAAUAUAUUGUCUUUCAUGUUUGGUUUCCACCAAAAUUUGUUUAUAAUUCAUAAAAUGAUGGACUUUGUCCAUAUGGAGUUAUUAUGAAUUAAUAUGUUAAUGCAUGUUAAUUAAUAACGUGCAUGCACAAGUUAAUAACAUUAAUUAACAAAUCAACAUGUUAAUCAACAUGUUAAUCACAAGUUAAUCAACACGUUAAUUAAUAACCUUCAUGCACAAGUCUUUUGUGAAGGUGUGUUUUAAUUUUUCUUGGAGUGGAAUUUCUAGGUUUUGUCUUAAGUUUAUAUUAAUUUUAUAAGAAACUGACCAGUUGUUUUCCACAGUGGCUGUGCCGUCCUGCAUUCCCCUGCGCUGUGUAUGAAAGUUUCCCACACGCCAUCCCUUCACCAAACCUUGGUGUUACCAGCAGUCUUCUUAGUAAUGUUAACCGUAUGAUUUUGAUUGGAAUCAUAUUCAACCUGUAGAUUAAUUUGAGCAUAACUGAUAUGUUAGCAAUAUUGAAUCUUCUGCUCCAGGAACACAGUUUAUCUCUACAUUUACUUAGAUCUUCAUUAAUUUCUCUCAAUAUUUUAUAGUUUUCAGUAUAAAGGACUUGCACACGUUUUGUUAAAUCUACCUUUAAGUAUUUUAUAUACUUAAUCCUUCUUUAAUUAUUACUUUAAAUAACCUUUUGUUGUCCAAUUGUUUGUUACAAGGAUAUGGAGAUAUAUUUGACUUUUAAGUUGCCUUUUAAACCUGCAACCUUGCUAGAUUGACUUAUACUACCAGCUAUUUUAGAUUUCUUAACAUUUUCUAUAUAAACAAUCAUAUCACAGGUAAGUAGAAACAAUUUUAAUGUUUCCUUCCCCACCUGCAUGCCUUUUAUUUCUAUUUCUUACUUUAUUAUAUGGGCUAGACCCUAUUUCCUAUGCAUAGUAGCAAAUAGAAGUUACAGGAGUAAAAAUCCUUGCCUUAUUCCUGAUUUUUUUAGCUGCGCCAUGGCAUGUGGGGUCUUAGUUCUCUGACCAGGGGCAGCUUGGGGUCCUAAUCACUAGACAGCCAGGGAAGUUCCUAUUGUUCCUGAUUUCAGUGGGAAAUCAUUUUUAUCUUUCAUCCUUAAGUAUGAUGUAUGCUCUAGCUUCUGAGGAGAAAAUUUUCACUGGGUUGAAAUCUAUUUCUAGCUUUCUGAGAGUUUUUUUUUAAUCAUGAACAAGUGAUGAGUUUUCUCAACUUUUUGUUGUUGCUGCUGUUGUAUUUGCUGAGAUUAUUAUAUGGUUUUUCCUUUUCAGUCUGUUAGUAUGGUAAAUUACAUUCAUUGUAUUCCUGAGCUAAAUUCCACUUGGCUUUUCUCACGCAAGUAGCAUCUGGUACCUAUUAUCAGGAAUACAAAUACUUUUGCUCACUAUAUCUUGGUUUAGGCAUCACCAGGGAAAACAUGAUGGCACCCCACUCCAGUUCUCUUGCCAGGAAAAUCCCAUGGAUGGAGGAGCCUGGUAGGCUGCAGUCCAUGGGGUCGCUAAGAGUCGGGCACGACUGAGCGACUUCACUUUCACUUUUCACUUUCAUGCAUUGGAGGAGGAAAUGGCAACCCACUCCAGUGUUCUUGCCUAGAGAACCCCAGUGACUGCGGGGCCUGGUGGGCUGCCGUCUAUGGGGUCGCACAGAGUCAGACACGACUGAGGCGAUGCAGCAGCAGCAGCAGGGAAAACGUGAAGCAGUCAAGCACCGGGUGGAACAAGCUUUACUCACACAGGGCGUGACAGUGCAAGGUGGCAGCCGCACCAGUGCUGGAGCUCCAGUGUGUUUGGUAGAAUUCACUUGUGAAGCCAUGUGGGGUUAAGGUUUUCUUUCUGGGAUGAUUUUAACUGUAAGUUCAAUUUUUAAAAGCGGUUGUAGGGCUAUUCAGGUUAUAUAAUUUUCUUGAAUAAGCAUUAGUAAUUUGUGUCUUUUGUCUAUUACAAUAAAAUUUUCAGAUUUG
This is a long non-coding RNA of Bos taurus (domestic cattle), 5918 nucleotides long. Lineage: Eukaryota; Metazoa; Chordata; Mammalia; Artiodactyla; Bovidae. The record is from Ensembl.